Monomorium pharaonis (pharaoh ant) is the source of this 9615-nucleotide long non-coding RNA. RefSeq lists it as uncharacterized. The transcript has 2 exons. Lineage: Eukaryota; Metazoa; Arthropoda; Insecta; Hymenoptera; Formicidae. The record is from RefSeq and is a predicted model, not a curated record.
GCCGCCACCGCCGCCGCCGUCGCUACCACCACCGCCACCGCCGUUGCCGCCGUUGCCGGCGCCGCCGCCGCCGUUGCUGCUGCCACCGACACCGUCGAUCGAAAAGAGGCCCGUGUUGUACGCGCCCGCGCACACGCUUUACUUCGCAUGCGUAUUGAACGCGAGAGAACCGGUGUCCUCUCUUUCUGCCUCCGCACCGCAGCGUAUCCGCACGCGCCGCUUCCUCCUCGUCGUCGUCGUCGUCGUCGUCGUCGUCGUCGUCGUUGCCGUUACUGCCGGUCGCGAGAGAGUCGGCCGCGGAGUUCGUUACCGUUCCUCUUCCUCUCCACUUCUUCCUCUCGCUUUCUUCUAACGCGAUUAAUGCAGUCAAUUUUUCCCCCGCGACUCUUUUUCCUUGCGCCCGUACGAUCGCACGAGUUUGCUCUAAUGGUUUAUUCUUUUUACUCAAUUUUAAAUUAUACUCGCAACGCAUCGAUUAUUGUAGUACUUCUCUCAUUUGUUUGCUGUAUCAUUCAAAUAACUUUGUGUUAAAAUAUUUAAUUCACGUAUAUUUCGGUAUCACGUUGGAAAUAUUCUUGUUAUCUUUCUUUUGUCCUUGCAAAUUAUAUACUUGGCAAAGUUAAUUUUAAAAUGAUAGAAUAUAUAGGUUUUUCCCCUCUUACAAUCUCCUUAUCUUUUGAGCCACGUCUGCUCUCGCAAAUCUAAAUUGAAGGACAGGUUUAUAUCGGAGAGUCGAUUAAUACGCUAGGGUAGAUGAAGUCGGGUAAAAGGGUGAAGCUCAUUGUUACAUUGAUUUUGAAUGUGCGGGAAGCUGGAACGUUCGUUCGGAACCAAGAGUGAUUUGUUUUAAAGGCAAAUAGAGCCUUUCUUCGUAUUCGGCCCUUGUAAUCCGCUUGUUGCCCCUUAUGCAGUGCAUCUGCCUCUUGCGCGGAGCACCCAGUUAUUUGUUUGUCUGGUUUUACCAAAUUAGAAUCGCGCAGAAGAGAAAACAUUGGACACUCAGGGGCGAGACGAGAUGACAGAUCGAAUCUACGUUGCUUUUAAUUAGAAAACGCGACACAUGUAAUCCCCCCCGUUCGUACGAUAAUCUUUCAUUUGCAAAGUGCAACAAGUGAGUUCAGCUUCGUGCAGUUUACCGAGUUUCCAUACCGGCGUAACAUUCUAUUUUAUAUACAUUUUUUUUCCGUCGCGUUACAUAGCAAUCUUUACCUACGUUUUUUUAAUUAUCUUUUUGUCCUUUUAUGUUUCGCCCUGCUGCCAUGCCCGAAAGUCCGUCUAAUAGAGAUAGUUUUCUAAAGAACGUGCGUCGGAGGAUCUUCGAAUGGAGAUGAAAAAGACGGUGGAACCUUCGUUAAUUUUGUCCUUCUUUCUCUUUCUCGUCGCGGAAAUUGCGGUUUAUCUGAUCUUCACCAGGUCUGCACGCUAAUUCUCUUUAUUACUGUCCUUUUCAUUAAAUUUCCUCAACGUGCGAUUUUAUUAUAAUCGUGAGCAAAUACAGUACGCGUUUUCAAACAUGAAUUUAGUAUACUAUUGCGUUUUCUAUUGUCUAAGAUACUUGUAAAAGAAAAUAUUUUGAAAAUAUGAAUUUACACAUUUUUACACGUGUACGUGCAACAUUUUCCAAUCUACUAUACUAUGUACGUGUUCCGAAAAACGUAUUCGUACAAGUUCAUAAAGUAUUUAGGGAUUCGAAGAAGAGAGAGAAUGUGUGUAUGUGUGUUUUUAGAGAUUUAUGUUGACUUUAAAUAUGGAUAUAUAGAUGUAGAAGAUGUAUAUACGGCGAGAAAAGAAUAAUUUCUUUCGGCUAGUAAGAAAUGUAGUAAAAAAAGAGAAAGGGGGAAAGAAAAAUAGUUAAAAGUCGCAUUUGAGGAGGAGUCUCGGAUAUAACUAUUUUUCUCUUUCUCCCGGCACACAAUUUUUUCCACUCUUAAUGCGUUCUCCUCUUUAUACGUUAAUCCUUGCUCUUUCUCUUCCUCUCUUUUAAGAUAAUUCUUCUGUAACGCCGCCCGGAAUUCCUGCGUACGGCAAGAAAUUCGUGAAAAAAAAAAAAAUACCACGGCUAUGCAAAGAGGACUAGAAUUUGUUACCGCCCCAGGAAUGUGCAUAUUUUCAUUGGGUUUGUCUCCGCAUAAUACCGAAUCGAGACGUAAAAUCAAAUAUGUAGGAAAAUACUCGAUAUUAUAUUAAAUAACAAAUAACAAUAAAUUAUUACAUAAAUAAAUUAGUUAAAUAAAAUACGCAAACGUAAUAAUAGGGUACAAAUGAGUUAUCUAUUAUUAAAAUUGAUAUAAUACCAUUAUAUUACGAAAGAUAUCGUGUGCAAAACGCAAUACGUUGAUUUAGGCAAUCACAUUUUCGCAUAAACAUUGAGAAAACAUAACAAAAUGCAAAUUACGUAGAUUACGUUUCGAAGGUAUAAUUAUUACGUAUAACAUAUGUAGUUCAAUACAAAAUAUUGGAUAGAAAAAGAAGACUCGCUGCCGCGUCGUUGUAACUUGCCUUUCUCUACAUCGCUGAAAGUGCUCCGCCAAGAAAUGAUGCCCCAUCGAAUUCUUGGCAGCGCCUUAUAUCUGCCCGAAGCGGGCGAUGAGGACCGUCGAGGUUGAAGAACGAAAUUGGACUUUCUACGUGCGAGACGGUACGCAGAACGAGCACGGCACUUUGUCACGCAUGUGUUUCACAUUCAUUUACAGAUAUGCCCGCUUCGCAUUCCAAAUGUGAGAUUUCGUCUGCCUAAAUUUGUUCCUUUGUUCUCUACUAUUUAGAUGCGACUUGAUUGGCUUUCUUUCGAAUAUAAUAUGUCGAACAGACAACAAUAAUUAUACACUUAUACGUGCAAAGACAUUGAGAUAGCACUUGAAAAUCUUGUGCGACUUUGCAGACUUUGCGACUUGCGUAAAAUAAUAUAGCCGGUUUAAUAGGAGCAAAGAAUAUGUAGACUACUGGCAAGUUAAAUUACACAGUAAGAUUUUUAAGCAUACAAUUACGGAACAAGUAAUUUCGAAGUAUUUCCUAUCUGUUUGCGAAUACAGUCGUAGACUACAACAGUUAUUUGAAUUCCACAGAUAGGUACGAAUAUUCGGUAUGCGGGCAAAACGUCUUAGACUCAAUUUUUCGUAAAUGGAUUUUUCGUGGUGGAAUAUAUAGAGAAUCUUUCUAUAUAAUAUGGUAUGAAAAUUUGAUGCGAAAGAAAUUGGAUUUAAGCUGUAGUGCGCUACGCCAAACACACAUUCGCGUGUACGAUAUAUUGCCCAAGGGAAAGCGCAAUGUGUGUUUGCUACUCCGACGAUAAACGAUAUUAACAAAACACUAAAACACUUUUUUUACAGUCUCAAUGAUUUGUGAAUUACUACUAGUCGUGCGAAUCAAAAAAUCCGCGCGCGGGGAGGAGAGAAAGAGAGAGAGAGAGAGAGAGAGGAAUUUCGAUUAGUACCACGGGACGAAAUUUUUUUAACAAUUUUUUCCCUCCCCCCUUCCUCGAAAUAACAAUAACUCUCGAUAUGUGUCGCUAAUGGAUUAGUGAAGGUUUGCGCGCGCGAACCCAAGUACGCUUCAAUUUGCGAAACUCUGCAGUUAAUGGACUCGCGCCAUAGCGCGAGCUAUUAAAUUCCGUCACAUGUACGCGAAAACGAUAUACAGAGGGAGAUUUUGUUUACUGCGCGGAUUAGCGCAGGUAUUAGUAACCGGACUUUAUUCGCGCAUUUAAUAUCGGCACUGCAUCGCGCGCGUAUUAUCGCCGCUGCCGCCGCUGCCGCCGCCGCCGCCGCCGCUACGUGUCGUCCACGCACACUUAUGUCACCGACGCACUCGUCCGAUGACAUUAUUAUCGAAAAGCGUUUUACCACGGGAGAGCACGUUCGCUCGCUUUUCGCGGAUAAAUGUUACGUGUGGCAGCCACGCUACCUGCGAGACCGAGAGAAAGCGCAGCACGAGAGAGCUCUCCACUCCGCCGUUAAGCGAUAAUAAUAGGCGUUGCACAUGUACUCGCAAAGAGAUAGAGAUAGAGAUAGAAAUGUGAGAAAGAGAAUGUGUGUAUGUGUGUAUGAGAGAGAGGGAGAGACGAGAUCGAGAUACAUACAUCGGCGAGAUGCCCAGGAGGAAACAAUGCAUCCCGUUGUGCACGUCAAUGAGACCUGCGGAAUCUCGUUAGCGCUCUAAAUCCUCCUUUUUUAAGGCCACGAUGCAUUUCUAGGUUCAAGACACACGUGAUAUAUUCGCGUACCGAGUUUGCAUCCGGCGGCCAUAAUGUCGCUCGUAAUGUCUUCACUAUUCAGAUAAACCAUGUCGCGCGAAUACAAAGUGCGCCGAAAAAAAAAAAAGAAAAAAGAAAAAAAACGCAUCCUAAUAUGCAAAGAAUUCCUUCACCGCCGUAAGGGCCAUUAUCGAAAAUCCCAUUCUUUCCUACAUUCCAUCGUGAAAAUGAUAACGUAUUUCGCUAUCUCGUAUUACGUCGAUUCGGGGAAAAAGAGUCUACGUCGUGUCGCGCAUUCUUCAUUUAAUAAUAACGCUCACGUAGACAAUUCGUGUUGCACCAAUUUCGCAAACCGGAUCGGGAUUCGAGUGCGCGCGCGAGGAGAACGUGACGGUCCCCAUGGCGGGAGAGGGUACGGGAGAUCUAAUACUCCUUAGAAAUUCAAGAAUGAACCGAUACGUAGGUACGCACGAUCGAGCCGGGAAUCGAAGAUGGAUCGUGCGCGUGAGGCAGAGGUAAUGGAAGCUGGCCCGAAUAAAAUUACAGCAAAUAUUGUACCAACGGCUAUCCCCCGGUAUGAGCGAUCGGAUAAUCGAUCUUGGGCGCUUUAACAUCAAGCUGGAAUCUUUCGGUGCACGAGAAAUUAGCGUGUCCCAUGGCGCGGCCGCGGCAACCAUCGAUAAAGUCGGAAUAGUGCGGGAGAAAUUUUUCGGGAAAUUUCCCUUCCAGCCGUGAAUUCAGCACGGCUGUUCCGCGAUUCCAAAUUUCCUUUAUUUAAUCCAGCAAUCAUCAUACAUCAUCCGACCCGCCGGCGUUGUUGCAUUUAUAUAUUGCUCCUCCAUCUUUCAGUCGCGCGCGUCGUUUCCUUUCAUAUUUUGAAGGCGCGUCUAUCUUACCCCUCAGCGGCUUCAUGGCCCGCGGAUAUUAAAUUAUGUUAAGUGAAACUAACAGAUCUCACACAAAGAGAAUUGCGCUUUAUUCGUGCAUGCGCGAGAAGAAUUUUCCCCUCUCUUUUCUGUCUACGUUGGAAAAAUUUAAUCAACCGUUCGAGCUGCAACGCGAUUGGCUUCGUCAUCAAUUAUCACUUGCGAACAUUAUUUAUCACGCGAUAGCCAGACGGUCGUAAUUGUUUCUCGUCGUUCGCCAGUAUAUUUUUGAUACGGAAAAAUUGUUAUCUUUUUACAUUUCUCGUACAUUUUCUUCGAAGACGAAUACUUCCAGUAACUAUCGCGACCGUUGAUUGUUCUACCUUUUGUCGGUUGAGUUUUUAAUUCUCCGCGGUAGAGAGUGUCUUCGUUUAGAAGACCACAAUUUCUCACGGACGAAUACACCCGUGGGUGCACUUCGCUCUCGCGUUCGGACGCGCGCUAUUUCGCAUCGCGCUUGAACGGCAACGUCAAUCUGGACUGCCGAGCCAAGGGAAUGAAACGGUAACUAGCCGGUAUUCACUCUUCCCGGAAACAAGCAAGGGUAGACACAAUCUACUCGCCCGUGCUAGUACGCAUUCAUCCGCAGUUGUUUCGCUUCGCGUGUAAGUUCUAUUGAAAUUCGUGCACGAUAUCGGACAAUAAUAAUACAAUAAUUGAGAAAAAAGUAUUGAGAAAAUUCUACAUACAAAUGUUUGAAUUGCCGAAUAUUUUGAAAUACUAGAAAAGUAAUAAAACGUGCUACAGCUCGUUGAAUUGAAUUUCAUUGAAACGGUUCUAACAAAAUGAACGAAGCGGCUAAAUAUUAUUGAAUGGUACGAAAUCAUCCGUAUAAAAUACAAUGUAAUUUAAUACGGUAAAUGCACACAGAGAUUCCAGAGAAAAAUCGUUAAUUCGGAAUUGCGAAAACGAGUAGUAAGAACAAGCAAAAAAAAAAAACCAACGUCGGUGCUUUCUGAAUUGAGAAACAUACGAGCUUCAUUUAAAAUUAAGCUCGCGCUCGCAGAUAUGGGCGAUAAAGCUGAUAGCACUUUUAGAAUUUUGUUACACCGCGAUCGAGAAGGUCAAUCAAAUUUGCGCAAUUGUAAGAGUGGAAAUUUCUAUGUAGUCGGUCAGCAUUAUCGAGCGCAACGUAACAAUUGUCUGAUACUGGGCACUAGGCCAAUCACAUUCCGUUAAUGAAAUGGAAUUCAGUUUUGGCGAACGUGCGAUCUUAAUUCACUCGUUCUACCCCACGUGUGAAGGUUCGAAAAACAAAAAAAAAAAAGGUGCAACUGUUACGUGCACUUCGGUAAUUUUAUUUUGCUAAUGUGUUAAAUAAUAUUCAUUCAUACGUAUCGAAUAAAUAACAGAAAUAUUAAACUUUCUGUUCAUUAUUUCGAGGACAAUUGAUUUGAGAUUUCGCGCGACUUGUUUUAUUGAUUAACGAUAAAACAUCGUUAUAUUUUUCUUUAUUGCGAUUGCCGCGUCGAGCCAUUUGUUCCAAUAAUAUAAUUUUUCACCUAAUUGUAAUUGCAGCAAUUUAAUACUUAUAAUAAUAACAACUUCGUUUGACAAAAACGUUAAUAACGUCAAGCUAAUAUCUCUCGGUCGAGCGAUUUUCCUCAUUAGUGCUGAAGGGAUUGACCUGUCCUUUUUGCCCUAUCCUUAGAAGAAACCUCUUCUAUUUUAUGAGGUAAAAUACAAUUUCGUCAUCCCCUUUUAAAAGAGCGAUUUUUCGCUGCAUUGCAAUAAAGUGAUAUCAAUAUACUUGACUUGAGAAUAGCUUACGACAAAUACGUAACUAUGAAAAUUCGUUGAAAACGCCAAUUUAUUAUAACAACUUAAUUUUAAACAGAAAAAUAAGUAUAUUUUAAAAUUUGUCCCAUUUUGCAAUUAUGGAACAGUAUUUAAAACUUUUCUACAUAUAAUUAUCGAUCUGUAGCUAUAUUUAAAUUAGUUUAAAGUAAAAUACAAAAAAAGAUAUUUUUAUUCCAGCGGUGUGAUAAACAUAGAUGUGUCUAAAAACACAAUGCAAAUGGGUAAUAAUAGAACUUUGCGUAAUGACGUCUGGCGGAUAGUUGAUCCCACCAAUGUGAAAGAGAUAAAGUCCCGUGCCUUUUAUUCCGGAAUAAAGCGACUGUCUGCCUCAUCCAACAUCACCUCUUUAAGAGGUAUAACGCAUUUCAACAAAGAGCUGCCCGUAUUCAGGAGACACCGCGUAGGCAAACAAGGAAGAAAAGAGAAUAAGAUGCGGUAACGAGCGGUUUGUAGAAAAUCUCGUAAAAGUAUCUCAGACGGCAACAUUGGAUGUAGAUUUAAUAAGAUCUGCAUUAACAGAUGCCGCACGACAGGUACUGAAAGUACAUUGUUCCGUAGUUGUACACGGAGGAUUAUGGUCGUCAAUAUUCUUUGUUUCAAAUUACAAAGUUCGCGAGAUCCCUACAUUCCUUCCUACGAGUUCUCCAUUUAAUUCUCGCAAUUACCAUACGGAGUAAUUGAAAAUGCGAAUACCUCAUCGAACGUGAUGUAAGACUCGAUAGUGCAAGCCGCGAACUAAUCGAACCAGCGGGAUACCGCUAAUAGACUACUGUAUGACUUCAUUAACCGCCAAUUGAAUGUAAUCAACAUCCGUGACGCUAGUUCACUCGUUUCGCCGCGGCGAGUGCCUUCCCUACAUGUAACGUCGUCGCCGCUACGACACCGGGGAGAGAUGACUGUUCUUCGUUUUCAUUUGUCUCUGGUGAUGGUACGCGUCGGACUAACAACGUCGGCAAACCUCGUUAUAAAGCGCGGCCACGGGCUCGCGUUACGUGUCCGGAAGGGGAAAUACGCGGAAUACGCUUGUACGAUUGCGCCCGGCGCCGCGCGCCGUCCCUCUCGUCGUCAGUAUGCGAGCGUUCUCGAGAACCCUUCUGAAAUUUUCACCGCACCGGAAAUACCAGACAGCCGCACCCUCCGCUCGAAAACGGGUCGAAACAACGACGAGGUUUCCACGCGCCAUGAGCAUCCAAUAAAUCAUCUUCGCAGCAAGAGGAAAAAAAAAAAAGGAUCGAGCAACCUGGCUGACGAGAAGGAGAGAAAGAGGGCCGUCACCGUAGUUGGUAAUUGGAUGUUACGUAGCAUCGUCGUCGCAAUAAUUAGCGUGAAUUGUUUGCUUCUUCCCGGCAAUUAACGGACCGUACACUGGCUCGGUGCGAGAUCGCUUUCGAGCGACUUCUGAACAAUUUUCUGCGAGACGUGAACGUUAUGUAAGAUACGGCCAAGGAUUUGUGCCAUCGAGAGGAUUGUCGCUCGCCGAGGGAAGAAAAAGAAAAAUUCGCGCGAUUUUGCCCCAGUAAUUACAUUUUUACGUCGUUGACAUGCCAAGCUCGAUGUUCGUGGGCGAGGAUGUCUGACUACAGGCUUACCUAUAUCCUUUCGGAUUAUAGCGGAUCGAGCGUAAAGCGUCAUUUCGUGCUGUAACGGAGAUAAAAAUAAAAGAAGAACGCUCUAUCGUGAGACUAGUACAGUGAUUUAAGUCUGUACACUCGUUACAUAAUGUAAAUUUCAUGUUCCGAAAGAGAUAUCAGUUCAAUUUUCGAAAUGGUCUUCAUUAAAAAAUUAAAAAUUUAGAAAAUCCAACCAGAUACGCAACGCCGUACAUUAUUGAGUAUUAUUGAAUAUAUAUUAGAUUAUAUCUAUAUUUAGCAGAAAUAUUACUUGAAAUAGAGAUGAAAUUUGAUGCAAAUUAUGAAACAAUCAAGCAUAAUUAAAGGUUAAUAAUUUCUAUCGCAAAUUUCAGAUUCUAACGAUUAAGUUUCUCCUCCGUUGCAGCUCAGCUUGAUUUCCUCGUGCUAUAUAUAUUCACUAUGUUGGAUGCUGUGAUGUUAUACAACUACAAGCCUCGUAAAAAAGAAGAGUCUCUUGUAGCUAUAAGGAGCAGGUCUUUUUACUAUCACAAGAUUUACGAGUGUGAUAUGACUACAAAAUUCAAAAGUGUCGAUACCAUACGUUUCUUAAUGGCAUAAGAUAAAAACUAAUGCAUUUAAUAUUAUUGAUUAUUUAUAAAAAUAAAAAAAUGUAUAUUAAGUAUUUUUCCAAGUGUAUUGCUUCUCUUAAAAACGUCCUACUUUUUCCUUAAUAAAAUAUUACAUUUCAGUGUUUCAUUCCGAAAAUAUUCUUCAAAAAUUCCUUAGAUAAAUUAUUUGAAAAGCACCGUCUGUUAACGUAGCCCAAGUCUACGCUUGUUUCAAAGCUCCUUUACCGGAUUGACGAUAACAUGUACUAUAAAUUUAAUACCACUCAUAACUACGGUGACCAUAUUUUCUUAGAGAACAUAAAAGAUGAACCUAAAAAUUUUAGAACUUUCUCCCAAAUUAGUUUGUGACUGUCUGUGCAUUACGAAAUUCUUACAAUUUUUCCACAAUGCCGUUUAAAACGACAUAUUGUCUUCUAUUGCCACUAAUAUUUAAAAAAUAAAACUCGCGAGUCGCAAGGAAAUGUACGUGUAUGAAUAAUCUGUUAAUCGAUCUAGCC